Molecule: ribosomal RNA, 354 nt
Filed under: uncultured bacterium
Lineage: Bacteria
Description: bacterial SSU rRNA
Rfam family: Bacterial small subunit ribosomal RNA
Source: RNAcentral
UAGAGUUUGAUCAUGGCUCAGAGUGAACGCUGGCGGCGUGCUUAACACAUGCAAGUCGAACGAGAACGGAAUAUAGCUUGCUAUAUUUGUCAGCUAAGUGGCGCACGGGUGAGUAAUGUAUAGAUAACCUGCCCUUAAGAAAGGAAUAACGGUUGGAAACGACUGCUAAUGCCCUAUAUGCCUUUAAUACAUAAGUAUGCAAGGGAAACGCUUUAGUGCUUAAGGAUGGGUCUGUAUGGUAUCAGCUUGUUGGUGAGGUAAUGGCUCACCAAGGCUAUGACGCCUAACUGGUUUGAGAGGAUGAUCAGUCACACUGGAACUGAGACACGGUCCAGACUCCUACNGGACGCAGCA